This 253-nucleotide ribosomal RNA is filed under the name uncultured bacterium. RNAcentral describes it as "partial 16S ribosomal RNA". It matches the Rfam family "Bacterial small subunit ribosomal RNA", at positions 524 to 776 of the family's 1533-position model. The record is from RNAcentral.
UACGGGGGGAGCAAGCGUUGUUCGGAUUUACUGGGCGUAAAGCGUGCGCAGGCGGUUUUGUAAGCCAGAUGUGAAAGCCCCGGGCUCAACCUGGGAAUGGCAUUUGGGACUGCAAGGCUGGAGUAUGGCAGAGGAGACUAGAAUUCCUGGUGUAGCAGUGAAAUGCGUAGAUAUCAGGAGGAAUACCGAUGGCGAAGGCAGGUCUCUGGGCCAAUACUGACGCUCAUGCACGAAAGCGUGGGGAGCAAACAGG